This 73-nucleotide transfer RNA is filed under the name Plasmopara halstedii. It matches the Rfam family "tRNA". Rfam says of the family: Transfer RNA (tRNA) molecules are approximately 80 nucleotides in length. Their secondary structure includes four short double-helical elements and three loops (D, anti-codon, and T loops). Further hydrogen bonds mediate the characteristic L-shaped molecular structure. tRNAs have two regions of fundamental functional importance: the anti-codon, which is responsible for specific mRNA codon recognition, and the 3' end, to which the tRNAs corresponding amino acid is attached (by aminoacyl-tRNA synthetases). tRNAs cope with the degeneracy of the genetic code in two manners: having more than one tRNA (with a specific anti-codon) for a particular amino acid; and 'wobble' base-pairing, i.e. permitting non-standard base-pairing at the 3rd anti-codon position. The record is from Rfam by way of RNAcentral. Lineage: Eukaryota; Oomycota; Peronosporomycetes; Peronosporales; Peronosporaceae.
GAUCCUCUGGCUCGGUUGGUUGAGCGUCAGUCUUGUAAUCUGAAGGUCACCAGUUCGAUACUGGCAGGGAACU